This 497-nucleotide ribosomal RNA is filed under the name uncultured bacterium. Its description in RNAcentral is "partial 16S ribosomal RNA". It matches the Rfam family "Bacterial small subunit ribosomal RNA", at positions 28 to 507 of the family's 1533-position model. The record is from RNAcentral.
GAUGAACGCUGGCGGCGUGCCUAAUACAUGCAAGUCGAGCGAACGGACGAGAAGCUUGCUUCUCUGAUGUUAGCGGCGGACGGGUGAGUAACACGUGGAUAACCUACCUAUAAGACUGGGAUAACUUCGGGAAACCGGAGCUGAUACCGGAUAAUAUUUUGAACCGCAUGGUUCAAAAGUGAAAGACGGUCUUGCUGUCACUUAUAGAUGGAUCCGCGCUGCAUUAGCUAGUUGGUAAGGUAACGGCUUACCAAGGCAACGAUGCAUAGCCGACCCGAGAGGGUGAUCGGCCACACUGGAACUGAGACACGGUCCAGACUCCUACGGGAGGCAGCAGUAGGGAAUCUUCCGCAAUGGGCGAAAGCCUGACGGAGCAACGCCGCGUGAGUGAUGAAGGUCUUCGGAUCGUAAAACUCUGUUAUUAGGGAAGAACAUAUGUGUAAGUAACUGUGCACAUCUUGACGGUACCUAAUCAGAAAGCCACGGCUAACUACGUG